Molecule: ribosomal RNA, 452 nt
Filed under: Maoridrilus n. sp. 9 TRB-2010
Lineage: Eukaryota; Metazoa; Annelida; Clitellata; Crassiclitellata; Acanthodrilidae
Description: partial 16S ribosomal RNA
Rfam family: Bacterial large subunit ribosomal RNA
Source: RNAcentral
CUGCCCAGUGAUUAAGUUUAAACGGCCGCGGUAUCCUAACCGUGCAAAGGUAGCAUAAUCAUUUGCCUAUUAAUUGUAGGCUAGAAUGAACGGAUAAACGUAAUAAAUACUGUCUCAACUAUUAUAAUAAAAAUUAACAUUUAUGUGAAGAGUCAUAAAUUAUUUCGAAGGACAAGAAGACCCUAUAGAGCUUUAUUUUAAAUAUGACAAUUUUCAUGUAAAAAUUCGGUUGGGGCGACCAUGGGAAGUUAUAAAACACCCAUUAUCUAAAAGACUGCUUAGUCAAUAUACUGACCCUAUAAAGAUCAUAAAAACAAGCUACCUUAGGGAUAACAGGCUAAUUUUAUUUAAGAGUUCAUAUCUACAAUAGAGUUUGGCACCUCGAUGUUGGCUUAGGGAGUCACCUUAGCGCAAAAGUUAAGAAAAGAUGGUUUGUUCAACCAAUAAACCCU